RNAcentral lists this ribosomal RNA (468 nucleotides) under uncultured bacterium. RNAcentral's name for it is "partial 16S ribosomal RNA". It matches the Rfam family "Bacterial small subunit ribosomal RNA", at positions 28 to 507 of the family's 1533-position model. The record is from RNAcentral.
GACGAACGCUGGCGGCGUGCUUAACACAUGCAAGUCGAACGGAAAGGCCCUGCUUUUGUGGGGUGCUCGAGUGGCGAACGGGUGAGUAACACGUGAGUAACCUGCCCUUGACUUUGGGAUAACUUCAGGAAACUGGGGCUAAUACCGGAUAGGAGCUCCUGCUGCAUGGUGGGGGUUGGAAAGUUUCGGCGGUUGGGGAUGGACUCGCGGCUUAUCAGCUUGUUGGUGGGGGAGUGGCUUACCAAGGCUUUGACGGAUAGCCGGCCUGGGAGGGUGACCGGCCACAUGAGGACUGAGAGAGGGCCCAGACUCCUACGUGAGGCAGCAGUGGGGAAUAUUGCACAAUGGGCGGAAGCCUGAUGCAGCAGCGCCGCGUGCGGAAUGACGGCCUUCGGGUUGUAAACCGCUUUCGCCUGUGACGAAGCGUGAGUGACGGUAAUGGGUAAAGAAGCACCGGCUAACUACGUG